UUUAGCCAGCCUUAGUACAGUGUAAGGUGGGAACAAAAUGCUACAGUGCUACUCAGUUUCCUGCUUUCUACCUUUGCAUUUUUAGGAUCAGGCCUUCUGGUUUGGAAUGGGGUAGACAACACCCAGCCUCAUCCACAUGACUUCUGAUCAUCUCCAAUGCCUGAAUGCAGCUGGAUUGAUAGUGAUGAGUAUUAUGAUGUUCUGCCGCUAUAGGGAAAAGAGACAGGAUUUAGGGGUUAAUUCAUUUUAAUACUUAUGCUUUGGUCAAAGGAAAAAGAGGCAGAAGACUGAUUGUGGAACUGGGAUGCUGGUGGUGUCUGAAGCAUACAAGACAAUUUUGGAGAGAUUGACAGGAAAAUGUCUUCAGAGCAAACGCACGCCAGAUGGAAUGAAAACGGUUUAUUGGAGUAUGGAGGUGCUGCUGAACUGAAUAGAGGGCGGGUUUAAGAGCAAAGGCAGGAAAACAGCCAUAAAUGGGAAGAAACAGCACAAAAGAAAGGAAGAAAAUACAACUCUAAACUGUGAAUCUCCCUGACAUCUUUUCAUUAUCAGCCUAGUCAAUGAAAAAUGCCACAAAGGAAAACACAGCAUCAUAUUAUUGAAACAUGAUGGUUUGGGGUUUUUUUGAAGGACGCACUUGUAUAUUCUCCAUGGAUAGAUUUUUUUAUUUAAUUAUAUUUGGCAUUAUUAACUCUGUAAUUGUGUUUUACAUGUAGGGCUUGGAUUAAGUGGUUUUCCUGUAUCAUAUACACUUGUAUCACUCUUUUUACAGUUUUUUCAGGGCUUUUUUCCUUAUGCAAACAGAUCAGAGAGAAAAUAUUGAGUUGCUUCCUUUAUUUGUAUUAUACUUUAAAACCAAACAAACCUUUUUAUCUUUGACAAUGUGCUUCUUUUUUUGCUAAGGAAUA
This 908-nucleotide long non-coding RNA is filed under the name Chloebia gouldiae (Gouldian finch). RNAcentral describes it as "Erythrura gouldiae (Gouldian finch) lncRNA (ENSEGOG00005000530.1)". The record is from RNAcentral. Lineage: Eukaryota; Metazoa; Chordata; Aves; Passeriformes; Passeridae.